GGUCCGAUGGUGUAGUGGUAAACAUGCUUGCCUGUCACGCAGGAGAUCGCGGGUUCAAGUCCCGUUCGGACCGCCA
RNAcentral lists this transfer RNA (76 nucleotides) under Candidatus Phytoplasma melaleucae. RNAcentral describes it as "tRNA-Asp". It matches the Rfam family "tRNA". Rfam says of the family: Transfer RNA (tRNA) molecules are approximately 80 nucleotides in length. Their secondary structure includes four short double-helical elements and three loops (D, anti-codon, and T loops). Lineage: Bacteria; Bacillati; Mycoplasmatota; Mollicutes; Acholeplasmatales; Acholeplasmataceae. The record is from RNAcentral.